RNAcentral lists this ribosomal RNA (246 nucleotides) under uncultured bacterium. RNAcentral describes it as "partial 16S ribosomal RNA". It matches the Rfam family "Bacterial small subunit ribosomal RNA", at positions 1255 to 1500 of the family's 1533-position model. The record is from RNAcentral.
UCGCGAGAGUAAGCUAAUCUCUUAAAGCCGUUCUCAGUUCGGACUGUAGGCUGCAACUCGCCUACACGAAGUCGGAANCGCUAGUAAUCGCGGAUCAGCAUGCCGCGGUGAAUACGUUCCCGGGCCUUGUACACACCGCCCGUCACACCAUGGGAGUUUGUAACACCCAAAGCCGGUGGGGUAACCUUUUGGAGCCAGCCGUCUAAGGUGGGACAGAUGAUUGGGGUGAAGUCGUAACAAGGUAUC